GGACAGAAAGAGAACUGUCUACUGGAGCUGUCAUAGACGGUAACUACUCAUGAUGUGUACCACUGCGUGCUUUAAGUCUGCUGCUAAAAGCACAUGUACGAUGCCUGUGUGACAACUGGGUGCAAAUGUAACGGAGGCCUGGCACCGAGGGACAUUAUCUGGACCUGGGACAGGAGCCAUCACUUCAGCUUCAAGGGACAGAUAUUUUGAUCAUCAGUGCUUUCUACUGAAAGAUUAGUAAUCGAAAGAGGAAACAAACGGGGAAGUCUGCACAUACAGAGAUUGUGGCAUAAAUGGGAUUACAGAGAAUAUAGCCUUUGAGACUGGCUUCUUUCCCUCAGCAGAACACCACAGAGACUGGCCCACACUGCUGUGAGCAUCCACAGUUCAUCUCUUUUUACUGCUAACUAACAACACAGGCGGACCUGGGAGGUACUGCGCGUCUGGUUCCAGACCACUGAGAUAAAGUAAGUCAAGUCAAUCUUUUGGUUUCCCAGGUUCACAUAAAAGUUCACACUGUACCGCAGUCUAU
Long non-coding RNA from Camelus dromedarius (Arabian camel), 532 nucleotides. RefSeq lists it as uncharacterized. The record is from RefSeq and is a predicted model, not a curated record. Lineage: Eukaryota; Metazoa; Chordata; Mammalia; Artiodactyla; Camelidae. The transcript has 3 exons.